GCUAACAUCUGUGACAGUCUUCCUCCACUCUGUAUAGGGAUGCCACCACAGCGUGGGUUGAUGAGCGGUGGGUGUGUCCGCACCAGGGACCUGAACCAGCGAACCCUGGGCGGCUGAAGAGGAGCGUGGGAACAUAACCACCCUGCCGCCGGGAUGGCCCCAUCGCGUCUGGCUUGCUUGAAAUAGGCUUCCUGAUUUGGCUCUGAUUGAGGGGACGUGGCUUGAAUACCGGCUCCAACAUCUUCUCGCUGUGUGACUGAACGGGGCAAGUUAUUUAAACUCUCUGCACCCCAUAAAGUAGAACCAAACGUCCCACCGAGAAGACUUCCGGCACAUCGCAUCGCGUGCUUCCAUUUUCUGGAAGCGCAGACCUGAGGAGGCCAGGAAAACCCUGGAAGCUGACUCUGGGACAAACAGAAUGCUGUCGCCCACUGACUGUGAAGGCCACCGCCCACUGUGCAGGCGAGCAGGGCUGCAAGUCCAAGGUUGACCUGUUCCGGUUCUGGAAGUUGGAGAAAACAAGAAUUCACUGGUCCCCGCCUUGUUUGGGCUUUCCUUGUUUAUUGGCGCGCACAGAUUUAUUUCAGGGCUGAUCACCAAUGUAAAGAGACGGAGAAGCACAGCUCUGUGCAGAUGGACUGGAGGGGAAGUGCGCGGUUUCCCUGGAGGUGGAGGUGUGGUGGGAGGGAGAUGGGAGAAUUGGCCUAGAGUCACCGCGACCCGGGCUCCAUGGUGCCCCACUUUUUAGUUUUAAUUUGCUCAUCAUUAGUGCUUUGUGUAUCUCCAUUAAAAAUGUUUAGUAUUUUGAAGUCAUCAAGAUAUUUUCUGACAUUGUAUUCUAAGAAGAAAUUUUGAUUUGCCUUUCAUAGUCCCGUAAUACAAUUGGCAUUAAUUUUUUGUGAACAGUGUGAGAUAGAACUUAGCUCCCUUUUCUUCUGUAGACACACCCUGUAUGUUCCAGCAUACCAUUGCUGUGCUUGUGCGGUGCCGCCUUUGUCAACAUAAAGUGAAUAUGAAUAUGCACAUGGCAUAUUGUUAUACUCUGUUCAUUGGCACGUUUGUCCAUUCUUACAUCAAAACCAUAAUGUUUUAAUUCCUGUAGUUUUAUCAUAAUAUUUGAAAACCUAGAGAAAGUCCUGAUGCCUUAUUCUUUUUCAAGGGUGUCUUGAAUAUUCCUCACCUUUUGAAUAUUCAUAUAAAUUGCAGAAUCCACUUGCCAAAUUCCACUAAACAGUUAAAAUUGUGGUUAGGAUUCCUUGAAUCUACAGAUCAAGUUGUGGAGAAUUGGCAUGUUAUGGUACUUAAUCUUUUAAUGCAUGAACUUGGUGUCUUUAGCCAUUUAUUUAAGUAUUCUUUACUUUCUCUGAGCAACAUUUUAGAAUCUCUAUAUAAGGGCCUUGCAUAUACGUUGUUAGCCUUAACCCUUAAUGUUUGCUAUUUUUGAUGCUUUUAAAGUAAAAUUUUUAAAAAUUCACUUUUCACUACUGGUACAUAGAAAUAAAAUUUAUUUGAAUAUACUGGUCUUUAAUCCAGCAAUUUUGAGCAACUGACAUUAAUUUUAAUAAUUUAACUGUAGAUUCUUUUGGAUUUUCUAUAUAACAAAUUAUAUCAUCCAUAAAUACCAGGAGUGUUACCUCUCUCCUUUAAAUCUUUAUAAUUUUUGUGUUAGAUAUAAAAUAUGGGUGUAGAAUCUUUUUCUGCAUUAGUUAAGACCUCCAGUAUACUACUGAACAGGGGUGAUGACAGUGGACAACCUUUCAUGAUUGCCAAUAACAGAGGGAAAGCUUUCAACAUUACACCUUUAAAUAAAAUGUUUUUGGAUGUAUAUAGAGGCUUCAGUUGACUGACAUUUUAUCAUUAUCUGUGCUUCCCGUUGUUUAUUACAUGUCCUACUUUGUAGCAAUGAC
Molecule: long non-coding RNA, 1907 nt
Organism: Equus caballus (horse)
Lineage: Eukaryota; Metazoa; Chordata; Mammalia; Perissodactyla; Equidae
Source: Ensembl